RNAcentral lists this ribosomal RNA (35 nucleotides) under Asterochloris sp. GossenheimA3. RNAcentral's name for it is "partial 26S ribosomal RNA". The record is from RNAcentral. Lineage: Eukaryota; Viridiplantae; Chlorophyta; Trebouxiophyceae; Trebouxiales; Trebouxiaceae.
UAGACCUGAGGUCAGGCAAGACCACCCGCUGAACU